GUAGUUACAGCCAGCAAUUUGUAGUUUUCUCUCUAAGGCUAGGCCUUGACCUCUAUCACACGUGGCAAUUUCCCUCUUCCCUUCUGGACGGAGAAGCAGCCGCUCCCCUUCCCAGUCAGUGGGUUCCGUCCUUACCAAAUACCGAUAGGUAAGGUUGUAUAUAAUUUUUGAUGGGUAAGCAGCAGUGGUUGAUUUGGAUAGAGUUUCUAAGGCUGUCGUGAUUCGAUAGAUUUACUUGUUCUUUGUUCCCUUUAUUCUGUUUGUUCGUGGUGUUUUGUGGUGUUGCUAUGCAGGUUACAGAUUCGGUGUUGCAUGUUCCAAAGAGAGGCUGCGAUGGUGGAUCACAGGGUGUAGGCGAGGAGUUUAGCUUGAAACGCGCGAAUAGGAUGCCAAAGAACAUCUUCAUCGUAUUUUUCUCCUCUGUUCUUAUCAAUUUUUUGCAAACACUAGAGGUUUUGACUUUUGGCCUUGUUUGGUCUUUUGGAAGCUGAGAGAUGCAUUUUGAUGGUAAGGGAUGAUCCUCAGAGCAAGGUCAAGAGAAGCAAGGUCACUGUUUUUUCUUCAAGGAGGUUCCCUUGGUGCUGAUCUAAGUGCUAGAAGUUGUCUCGCCGACAAAAAGGAGGGCCUAGAGAUGGCGACGGUGCUGAGAGGCAUCUGCUUCUUUGUAUGCUGAUCAUGGUCCAAAUGGGCUGAAAACGGGAUACCCGUUUACCUGAGGAUUUGUGUUUUGAGCUCUGGCCUUUUUGUUGGGUGUUGGGUUUAGCUCAGAAGUUAUUCUCAUGCUUGGAUAUUAUGGGUAAAAUUUUAAACUAAAAUUUAUAUAUAAGUUUGGGCCUAAAUUUUUAUCUGUAACCUUAGGAUCCUUUGUAUGUAAUGGACCUUAGGCCUAUUAAUAAUCUAAUUAUUGUGGUUUGAUCUAUUAAUAAUCUAAUCGUUGUAUUUUUAGAAUUAA
RNAcentral lists this unclassified non-coding RNA (952 nucleotides) under Hevea brasiliensis (rubber tree). Lineage: Eukaryota; Viridiplantae; Streptophyta; Magnoliopsida; Malpighiales; Euphorbiaceae. The record is from RNAcentral.